RNAcentral lists this ribosomal RNA (1829 nucleotides) under Triticum aestivum (bread wheat). RNAcentral describes it as "partial small subunit ribosomal RNA". The record is from RNAcentral. Lineage: Eukaryota; Viridiplantae; Streptophyta; Magnoliopsida; Poales; Poaceae.
CCCGAAAGCCCCCCCAUCCUACCCUCUCCGUUCACCGCGCGAGGCAGCGGCAGCAGCAGCAGCUUCCCCCCCAAAGCCAGCCAGCCAAAUUCCCCUACCCACACAACUCCACUCCCCAGUUUUUUCCGGGUCAAAGGGUUAGGGUUUUGGGAUGUCGGAUCGGCAGCCGUCGGAGGAGCCGGAGGAGCAGGUGGACCUGGAGGGAGACGACGACGUCAUGGACGACGAGGAAGGGUACCGCCGCCGCCGCCACGGUGGCGAGGACUCUGAUGAACCGGAGGAGGAGCCCGAGGAGCCUCAAAUCGAGGUUGAGGGCGAUGGCGAUGGAGAUGGCCGGGAGGAGGACGCCGGUAUGGCCGUUGCGAGUGAUGAACCUGCCGCAGGAAGUGGUGACGAGAUGGAGAAGGGUGAUGGGCCUGAGGACGAAGAAGAGAAGAUGAAGUGGGACGAGCUCCUCGCACUACCCCCGCAGGGCUCGGAGGUAUUUGUCGGGGGCCUCCCCCGAGACACCACCGAGGAGGACCUCCGCGAGCUAUGCGAGCCAUUGGGCGAAAUCUUUGAGGUGAGGUUGAUGAAGGAUAAGGAAACAAAGGAAAACAAAGGAUUUGCAUUUGUCACAUUUACUGCCAAGGACGUGGCGCAGCGUGCUAUUGAAGAACUGCAUGACAAGGACCACAAGGGGAGAACACUGCGAUGCUCAUUGUCCCAGGCCAAGCACAGGUUAUUUGUUGGCAAUGUACCCAAAGGGUUGAGUGAGGACGAGCUGACAAGCAUAAUCAAAGGGAAGGGGCCAGGGGUCGUGAAUAUUGAGAUGUUCAAGGAUUUGCAUGAUCCAAGCCGUAACCGUGGGUUCCUCUUCGUUGAGUACUAUAACCAUGCUUGCGCAGACUAUGCCAGGCAGAAAUUGUCAUCACCAGACUUUAAGGUUGAUGGAAGCCAGUUGACUGUUAGCUGGGCUGAACCUAAGGGUUCAUCAUCGUCAUCAUCAGAUUCUUCUUCAUCUGCUGCUCAGGUGAAGACUAUAUAUGUGAAGAACCUGCCGGAGAAUGUUUCUAAAGAGAAAGUUAAGGAUCUCUUUGAAGUUCAUGGAGAGGUCACAAAAAUUGUUUUACCGCCUGCUAAGGCCGGGCAUAAGAGGGAUUUUGGGUUUGUUCACUUCGCUGAAAGAUCAAGUGCACUGAAGGCAGUUAAAGGAAGUGAAAAAUACGAAAUUGAUGGGCAAGUGCUCGAAGUUUCCAUGGCCAAACCUUUGAGUGAUAAAAAGCCUGACCACUCGUUCAAGCCUGGAGGAGCUCCUAGCUAUCCUCUUCCACCUUAUGGUGGCUACAUGGGAGACCCAUAUGGUGCCUAUGGUGGCGGCCCUGGAUUCAACCAGCCUAUGAUCUAUGGUAGAGGACCAGCACCAGCUGGAAUGAGGAUGGUACCGAUGGUGCUCCCUGAUGGCAACAACCUGGUGGAAUGCCGCCUCCACCACCUCCUCGACGUGGUGACCGGCGGGAUGGCGGUGGCCGAGGCGGCGAGGGAAGCCACCGGCGUUAUCGGCCCUACUAGUUUUUCCCUUGCCUUGCAUUUUUCGUCGUGCUAGGUGAUGGAUUUGUUAACUUUGAUGGAGUGCGUUUAGGAGCGGGUGUGGUUUCGCCCUGUAAGACUUUAUAGCCUUAGACUUGGUACUCUUCUGUUUUGUUUUUGAUAAACACCCGAGACUUGUACUGUUGCGCCGUCCUUUUCAAUAACUUGUGUAUCAUGCAGUGCUCGUGACAUCAAAACAAAGUGCAUCUCUUGCGUUCUAGUGGAACAUGCGGACAAUUUAUGUGAUAUAAUAACCCCUC